GGCUGGAGAGAUGGCUCAGUGGUUAAGAGCACUGACUGCUCUUCCAAAGGUCCUGAGUUCAAUUCCCAGCAACCA
RNAcentral lists this transfer RNA (75 nucleotides) under Mus musculus (house mouse). Its description in RNAcentral is "tRNA-Ser". The record is from RNAcentral. Lineage: Eukaryota; Metazoa; Chordata; Mammalia; Rodentia; Muridae.